This 564-nucleotide ribosomal RNA is filed under the name Triticum aestivum (bread wheat). Its description in RNAcentral is "partial small subunit ribosomal RNA". Lineage: Eukaryota; Viridiplantae; Streptophyta; Magnoliopsida; Poales; Poaceae. The record is from RNAcentral.
AUGGCUUCAUCCGGUUCCAGGACGAGGCCACCGUGCGCGGACCAAGAGGACAUACCGAAAACGUGGUUGGAGGCCAGUUUGGACAAGAAGAAGGAGAAGGAUGUGCCCACACCACCAUGUUGGUGUGGUGAUGUUUGCAAGCUGAAGGUGUCCACUGACCGCAACAAGUCAUGGACAGAAGGUAGAAGGUUUUUCGUGUGUCCCAACUAUGCACAUGAUCAUCGAAGGCCAACUAACGCAUAUGACAUACCACCGUCCCCUCCUCCACUUUGCAAGUACUUCACUUGGAUAGAUCACGAGGUACCAAAAGAUAUCCAAGAGGACCAGCGUGCAGAUUGGUUACGGAGGCAGCGCCUAUUCGAGGAGUCCUAUGCACGGGGAUUGGAGCGGGAGCGUCGUGAGAAGCAGGCUCGUGAGCGCAAGAAGCGUGAGCAAGAGAGGGCACACAAAGAGAAGGCGGCUCGUCAAGAAGAGAGGGCAAGCAAACUUGUAAGGGCUCGCGAUGCACGAGAGGAGGACGAGGCACGUGACAAGAAGGGAAAGUGGCCCCGGACUACUCAGUAG